Molecule: ribosomal RNA, 434 nt
Filed under: uncultured Lachnospiraceae bacterium
Lineage: Bacteria; Bacillati; Bacillota; Clostridia; Lachnospirales; Lachnospiraceae
Description: partial 16S ribosomal RNA
Rfam family: Bacterial small subunit ribosomal RNA
Source: RNAcentral
ACGGAAGGCAGCAGUGGGGAAUAUUGCACAAUGGGGGAAACCCUGAUGCAGCGACGCCGCGUGAGUGAAGAAGUAUUUCGGUAUGUAAAGCUCUAUCAGCAGGAAAGAAAAUGACGGUACCUGGCUAAGAAGCCCCGGCUAACUACGUGCCAGCAGCCGCGGUAAUACGUAGGGGGCAAGCGUUAUCCGGAUUUACUGGGUGUAAAGGGAGCGUAGACGGCUUUGCAAGUCUGAAGUGAAAGCCCGGGGCUCAACCCCGGAACUGCUUUGGAAACUGUAGAGCUAGAGUGCAGGAGAGGUAAGUGGAAUUCCUAGUGUAGCGGUGAAAUGCGUAGAUAUUAGGAGGAACACCAGUGGCGAAGGCGGCUUACUGGACUGUAACUGACGUUGAGGCUCGAAGGCGUGGGGAGCAAACAGGAUUAGAUACCCUGGUA